Molecule: ribosomal RNA, 782 nt
Filed under: uncultured beta proteobacterium
Lineage: Bacteria; Pseudomonadati; Pseudomonadota; Betaproteobacteria
Description: bacterial SSU rRNA
Rfam family: Bacterial small subunit ribosomal RNA
Source: RNAcentral
GGGGAUAACCUAGCGAAAGUUAGGCUAAUACCUGAUACGCUCUGAGGAGGAAAGUGGGGGACCGAUCGGCCUCACGCUCAAUGAGCGGCCGAUGUCCGAUUAACUAGUUGGUGGGGUAAAAGCCCACCUAGGCGACCAUCGGUAGCUGGUCUGAGAGGACGACCAGCCACACUGGGACUGACACACGGCCCACACUCCUUCCGGAGGCAGCAAUGGGGAAUUUUGGACAAUGGGGGAAACCCUGAUCCAUCCAUGCCCCGUGGGUGAAGAAGGCCUGCCGGUUGUAAAGCCCUUUCUGCCGGGACGAAAUCACACGGGUGAAUAUCCCGUGUGGAUGACGGUACCGGAAGAAGAAACACCGGCUAACUACGUGCCAUCACCCGCGGUAAUACAUAGGGUGCGAGCGUUAAUCGGAAUUACUGGGCGUAAAGCGUGCGCAGGCGGCCUCUUAAGCCAGAUGUGAAAUCCCCGGGCUUAACCUGGGAACUGCGUUUGGAACUGGGAGGCUAGAGUGUGGCAGAGGGGGGUGGAACUCCUUGUGUAGCGGUGAAAUGCGUGCAUAUCUGGAGGAACGCCCGUGGCGAAAGCGACUUGCUUCCUCGUAACUGACGCUGACGCGCGAAAGCCAGGGGAGCAGACCGGAUUAGAUACACGGUAGUCCUGGCCCUAAACGAUGAGCACUUGGCUGUGGUCCGUCCACUGGAUCACAGCUGCAGCCGAAAGUGGUAAGUGCUCCGCCUGGCCAGUACAGUCGCAAGGCUGAGACUCAAAUGAAUUGACGG